UACGGAGGGGGCUAGCGUUGUUCGGAAUUACUGGGCGUAAAGCGCACGUAGGCGGCUUUGCAAGUUAGAGGUGAAAGCCCGGAGCUCAACUCCGGAAUUGCCUUUAAAACUGCAUCGCUAGAAUUGUGGAGAGGUGAGUGGAAUUCCGAGUGUAGAGGUGAAAUUCGUAGAUAUUCGGAAGGACACCAGUGGCGAAGGCGACUCACUGGACACAUAUUGACGCUGAGGUGCGAAAGCGUGGGGAGCAAACAGG
RNAcentral lists this ribosomal RNA (253 nucleotides) under uncultured bacterium. RNAcentral describes it as "partial 16S ribosomal RNA". It matches the Rfam family "Bacterial small subunit ribosomal RNA", at positions 524 to 776 of the family's 1533-position model. The record is from RNAcentral.